CUAUUGUCCAGUCAUUAGGCCAAUGAUGUGAACUUCUCCUUCAUUCUUCUUCUACAUUCCACUCCCCUUAUUUCUCCUGUUCUUUUACCUCCAAAAUGGAUCCAUAUUUAAUUACCAAAAUGAGAACUUAAUCGAACUUCACCGAAGAUUAACAUUCGAGAGAGAGAGCGAGAGAGGGGGAGGGGGAUGUCGGGAGAGGGAUCUUCUAGAUCGCUGGGCGACCACCAGCAACCACCGACCCCAAGCCGAUACGAGUCACAGAAGAGACGGGACUGGAACACUUUCGGGCAGUACCUGAGGAACCAGAGGCCGCCGGUUCCGCUCUCCCAGUGCAACUGCAACCACGUCCUGGAAUUCCUCCGGUACCUUGACCAAUUCGGGAAGACCAAGGUUCACCUCCAGGGGUGCAUGUUCUACGGGCAGCCGGAGCCGCCCGCUCCUUGCACUUGCCCGCUCAGGCAGGCUUGGGGGAGCCUGGACGCGCUGAUCGGGCGGCUCAGGGCAGCCUACGAGGAGAACGGUGGGACCCCAGAGACGAACCCUUUCGCGAGUGGGGCGAUCCGGGUUUACCUCAAGGAGGUGAGGGAGUGCCAAGCCAAGGCGAGGGGGAUCCCUUACAAGAAGAAGAAGAAGAAGGAUCAACAAGGUGGCAAAGGAUCAUCAUCAAGUGACCAGUCAUCGAGUCCUCCAAUUCACUUCUCUUAAUCAUGGUUUGGAGUCAAACGGUUAUAGCGGAUUAUUCGAUCAUCGAUCUAGAUAGAGGAUGAUCACCGCUGUUGAAUUAAGUUGGGAUCAAACGGGAGGAAUUUAACAGUACAAAACCUUGGAAGCAUAUGUAGCUAUAGCUCUUGAGUGGGGGAAUCGAUGCUCGAUCGCUCUGCAGGUUGAUUGGCUUCUUCACUUUUUCAGGCAUUGGGGCUGAUCGCUUAGAGCCCUCCAUCCAUUCAGCAUAUAUACUUCGAGAUCAAAGUAACUCAUCUGCAUGAUGAAGGCAUGCGUACAUUGCUGCGAUAUAUAUUAGAGAUCUGUUAAGGGGUUUAUGCAGCAUUUUUAGUUUCCGUGAGAUUUCUUCCUCCUUAAUUUCUUCUGUUCCUUUUUCCUUUCUUUUUUUUUUUUGGGGUAAUCUUCCUUUUUCUUUAUUGAUUUUUGGGGUUUUCUUCUGUUCAUCUCUCUGAUUAUUUUUGUCUAUGAUGUGAAUUUUUUUUUUGUAAAAUGAACGGAAAUGAUGAUAUAUAUAUAUAUAAAUAAAAAUUACAUAUC
Punica granatum (pomegranate) is the source of this 1260-nucleotide non-coding RNA. Lineage: Eukaryota; Viridiplantae; Streptophyta; Magnoliopsida; Myrtales; Lythraceae. The record is from RefSeq and is a predicted model, not a curated record.